GACGAACGCUGGCGGCGUGCUUAACACAUGCCAGUCGAACGGAAAGGCCCUGCUUUUGUGGGGUGCUCGAGUGGCGAACGGGUGAGUAACACGUGAGUAACCUGCCCUUGACUUUGGGAUAACUUCAGGAAACUGGGGCUAAUACCGGAUAGGAGCUCCUGCUGCAUGGUGGGGGUUGGAAAGUUUCGGCGGUAGGGGAUGGACUCGCGGCUUAUCAGCUUGUUGGUGGGGUAGUGGCUUACCAAGGCUUUGACGGGUAGCCGGCCUGAGAGGGUGACCGGCCACAUUGGGACUGAGAUACGGCCCAGACUCCUACGGGAGGCAGCAGUGGGGAAUAUUGCACAAUGGGCGGAAGCCUGAUGCAGCAACGCCGCGUGCGGGAUGACGGCCUUCGGGUUGUAAACCGCUUUCGCCUGUGACGAAGCGUGAGUGACGGUAAUGGGUAAAGAAGCACCGGCUAACUACGUG
RNAcentral lists this ribosomal RNA (468 nucleotides) under uncultured bacterium. RNAcentral describes it as "partial 16S ribosomal RNA". It matches the Rfam family "Bacterial small subunit ribosomal RNA", at positions 28 to 507 of the family's 1533-position model. The record is from RNAcentral.